This 125-nucleotide small RNA is filed under the name Marmota monax (woodchuck). Lineage: Eukaryota; Metazoa; Chordata; Mammalia; Rodentia; Sciuridae. The record is from RNAcentral.
GCUGGGCGAUAUGGUUCACGCCUGUAAUCCCAGCAGCUUGGGAGGCUGAGACAGGAGGAUCACGAGUUCAAAGCCAGCCUCAGCAAUGGUGAGGCGCUAAGCAACUCAGUAAGACCCUGUCUCUA